UAAUCAAAAUCUCUCAAAUCACUAUUCUCACCACAAUGUACUUGUUUAAAAGUACAGCUGGACGUCUACUCCUGUGGAAGACUAGUGGUGUAGAAUGUAAACACUUUGGGUUUGUUUAGAAGUGGAAUAAAUUUUUUGAGUUUUGACCCAAAAUUACGCUGAAAUUAAUAUCGCACAAUUAUGAAUAUUAUACUAUUCCUCACACGGGGCACCAUCGUGCCUCACACGGGGCACCAUACUGUUGGGGAGGCAGAUAGGAGCUGGUCUAGUUAUUAAAAAACUUUAAAGAUAAUUAUCAAUAUUUAUAAAAUUAAUAUUAAUAAAUCAUCAAUAUUGAGUUUGACUUCACUAAUUGUACCUAAAGAGUCUCCUGAAUGCAUGUAAUGCAGUGAACUGGCUGUCUUUAAUCUGUUUCUUAUUUCCUUGUGCUAAAUGUGGGGCAGUGGACGCCUACAGAUCACAGGAAGUGUGGGUCUGAUGGUGUUGUGUUGUUUUCCACAGGUGCGUUAUGAUGAAGAUGAUGAUACAGUGAACUAUGAAAACAUCACAUGAUCCUGAUGGAGUUUGACCGACUCAUCGACUCCUCGUGUUUUACACUUCAAGAUUUGGAAUAACAAGACAGAACUUUGAGAGACUUAAAGGGGACAUAUCCUGCUCACUUCCAGGUUCAUGCUUGUAUUCUGGGUUUCUGCUACACUAGAACAUGUUUACAUGCUUUAAUAAUCUAAAAACACAUUAUUACUCUCCUCCUGUCUGUGUGAAUAUACCUGUAUUCACCCUCUAUCUGAAACGCUCCGGUUUAGCUCCUGUCUCUUUAAGAAGCCCAGUCUGCUCUGAUUGGCUAGAGAGAUAAAUAUGGUUCACCUUUACGAAGGUAGUCCUCCAGCUGUGGGCGGUAUAUUCUAAUGAGCCUGUAUGUGACAUAGGAAGGGGAGCCACAUCUGAUUGGCUCGUUGAAUCACAUGUUUUCUGAUCUAGACAGCCCACUAAAAACUGACUGGUCGUCUUAUUUCACAGUUUGUGGGUUGGUAGACACUCCAGAUACCCAGAUGAGCACAAGCACUGAGAGAGUGAGCUUUAAUGAUAUGUCCCCUUUAAAGCUGUUUCUCACCAGCUGGAUGUGAAGAAGCGAUGCAGGAAUGACGACGAUGCACGCCGGGUCAAAUUAUCCGAGGUGCCGUGUUUAAUUUACCGUCUCACAAACCGUUAACGUUAGCUUCACAAUACAUCAACUAAUCAGACCCCAGAUGUGAUGCUAACGCUAGCUGUUGUGGCUAGCCCCGUUCUGUGACCAACAUAUAACGUUAGCGAGUUCAUAUCAGCUCCAUCAGCAUCUCCAUGGUAACCCAGCUGCUGGGCCACCUCAGGCCACAUUUUGUCUCUUAUUUGGUUGUUGAGGUCGUCGUCGCCAUGUUUCUACAGGACAGUGUUGGGUGUUGAGAAACCAAAAGGUAGCAGCAAGCUACCUGGAGCUAUACCUGGAGGUAUGACAUCACUUGGAACAAAGGAUUUCAUUGGUCAAACAGAUAUUCCUGCAGGUGGAAAUCAGCUGAAAUUGAGGUCCGUCUGAAUAUUUUUUCCCCGUCACGAAUGUUCCACAACCCAUAAAAUCAGUUUUUAUAAAUAUCCGAGUGAAUUAUUCAGAGAAAAAUCUGUUCUUGGUGUGAAACAGCUUUUAUUAUUUUAUUUGAGUUUGAUGUCUUUUCCUUCAUCAGUUGUAAAACUGUUUCUCAUGUGCAGCCAGUUCAGAAGCCAGCAGCUGGAUCUGAACUUCAUUUAACAGUGAAGAGCAUUUCACUCUUGUUAACGUCCUUAAAUUGUUUUCCAGCUGAAGAUUUCACAGCUGAUUUGAAGAUUUGCUGUUUGUUUGUGAAGCUACAGCAGCUUGAGCUCAGUUUCAUGUCUCUGUGUGCACUAGACUCAUUUUAAUGCUCUUUCAUGAAGCGUUGCUGUUAACAUACUGUAUGUGUUUGAAUGGGUUUUCAGCCUUAAAGGGGAGUCAGUAACAGUCUUCUCUUUAUUCUAUCUGAGAACAACAUCAUCUGCAUAUAAAGACAUGUUGAAUUCUA
Molecule: long non-coding RNA, 2069 nt
Organism: Sebastes umbrosus (honeycomb rockfish)
Lineage: Eukaryota; Metazoa; Chordata; Actinopteri; Perciformes; Sebastidae
Exons: 2
Source: RefSeq, a predicted model, not a curated record